AGAUUGAACGCUGGCGGAAUGCUUUACACAUGCAAGUCGAACGGCAGCACGGGGGCAACCCUGGUGGCGAGUGGCGAACGGGUGAGUAAUACAUCGGAACGUGCCCAGUCGUGGGGGAUAACUACGCGAAAGCGUAGCUAAUACCGCAUACGAACUCUGGUUGAAAGCGGGGGACUCGCAAGAGCCUUGCGCGAUUGGAGCGGCCGAUGGCAGAUUAGGUAGUUGGUGGGGUAAAGGCUCACCAAGCCGACGAUCUGUAGCUGGUCUGAGAGGACGACCAGCCACACUGGGACUGAGACACGGCCCAGACUCCUACGGGAGGCAGCAGUGGGAAUUUUGGACAAUGGACGCAAGUCUGAUCCAGCCAUUCCGCGUGCAGGAUGAAGGCCCUCGGUUGUAAACUGCUUUUGUACGGAACGAAAGGUGACCGGUUAAUACCUGGCGCUCAUGACGGUACCGUAAGAAUAAGCACCGCUAACUACGUGCCAGCAGCCG
This 495-nucleotide ribosomal RNA is filed under the name uncultured soil bacterium. Its description in RNAcentral is "bacterial SSU rRNA". It matches the Rfam family "Bacterial small subunit ribosomal RNA", at positions 26 to 517 of the family's 1533-position model. The record is from RNAcentral.